This is a long non-coding RNA of Prosopis cineraria, 600 nucleotides long. RefSeq lists it as uncharacterized. NCBI's taxonomy places the organism in Eukaryota, Viridiplantae, Streptophyta, Magnoliopsida, Fabales, Fabaceae. The transcript is spliced from 2 exons. The record is from RefSeq and is a predicted model, not a curated record.
UUCUUUUCUUCACCGACAUGGGCUCCCCUGAUUCUUUACUGUCGAUUUGCGUUUCUGCUCUUCACCAUCGACUUGCUUCCUAGAUCUUUGCCAUCGGCUUCCUCUGUUCGCGUCGCUAUUUCGCAGCUGGGAGUGGGAGAUCACUGGAUUCGCUCCCUUGUUCGGCCGUUCUUUUCCUCUUCUCUGCUUCGUGGCCGACAGUGAUGCGUGGUGCGUCAUCUUGAACUUCUCUUCCUCCUCAGUUCUGGGCGUGAGAUAAUGUAAUUGACCCUGCACCUCCUGCUAAUCAUUAAGGGGCUCUUUUGUUUUUUGGACAGUGGAAGCAUACUUCAAUCAUUUGUUUUAAUGUAAAUAGUUAUUAUAUUAUACAAUGGUAGUUAGUGCUCUAUGUAUAUCGUAGUUAGGUUUUAGUCCUAUUUUUGUUGUCAUGUAAUCUGUUGGUGUGGAGUUAAGUUACUCUUCUAGAUUUGCUUAUAGGUUUAUUGAUUAUAGAAAUUUUGGAAUGUUCUAAUUACAGGGAAGAUUCUGCUGAAAUUUCUACUGAAUAUUUAAGACUUUAUGAACUUUAUAAUUAUAUAUAUAUAUAUAUUAUAUGAUUUA